CGCGAGCGCCAGAGGCCGGGCGCGGGCGCGGGCGCGGGGUGUGGGUAUGGGUACCGGUGUGGGAACGGGUGCGGGCGCGGGCUCGCGGGUGCGGCGGCGGCGGCGCUCGGGGCCGGCGGUCGAGGCACAGGCGGCGGGUCUGCUCUUUGUCUCCGCCGCUCCAAAAUGGCUGCGGCGAGCCAGGCGGAGGACACCGCCGGACGACGUGGGCUCCCGCCGAGCGCCGGGUCUCAACAAGCUGCCAGACUGGCCUUGAACUUGUGAUCUUCCUGCCUCAGACUCUGGAGUAGGUAGGAUUACAGAAGAAAAAAGAAAAGAAAAGGGUUAUUUUUGCUUGUUUUGGAGGUUUUAGCCCCUGACUGGUCGGCCCCGUGGCUUUGGGCCUAUGGUGAGGCACUGAUCGGGGCAGAAGCAUGUGGCCGAGCAGAACCACUUGCUUGUGGCCAGGAAGCAAAAGAGAAGAAGGGGCGGACCGGGGUUUCGCAGACCCCUCAGAGGGCACCCUGCCAACGCCUGAGGCCCUCUCGCUAGACCCACCUCCCAAAGACUGCACCACCUCCUGAAAGCACCAUGCCAGGGACCAAAUCCUAACACAUGGGCCUCUCAGGGACCUUUCAGAUCUAAACCAUAACCCUGGCUUUCAGGGGUGGGUUUUUUGUCUGUUUUUUGGUACCACGGAUUGAACUCUGACACUCGACCACUGAGCCACACCCCCAGCCCUAUUUUGUAUUUUAUUUAGAGACAGGGUCUCACUGAGUUGCUUAGCAUAUCGCUUUUUGCUGAGGCUGCCUUUGAGCUCACGAUCCUCCUGCCUCAGCCUCCUGAGUCACUGGGAUUACAGGAGUAAGCCACUGCACCCAGCUUAAAUUUUAUUUUUUUGACAUAGGUUCUUGCUUAGUCGAGGCUGGCCUGGGACUUGCAAUCCCCCUGCUUCAUCCUCCCGAGUCUCUGGAAUUACAGGCGUGCACCACCAUGCCCAGCAGCAAAAUGAAUUUUUAAAUCCCAGCUGUUUUGUUUUGUUUUGUUUUGUUCUUGAUUUUGUCCACGAGUUUGAGCUUCUAUUUCCAGGAUGGUAGACUCCUCCUGAACUCGCCCUCCUUCGGGUAGUGCCACAAGCCAGGCAGCACGCAAACCAGCAUUAGCUGUGGUCACAGGGAGUGAGCCCAGGCCCAGACUCUGGAGAGGAGCCAGCACUAGGAAGCAGGGCAGGGCCGGUGAGCCACCUGUGUCUGAGGUCAAGACCCAGGCCAGACCGUGAAGGGCAGGUAAAACUCCAGCAACAACCUGAAGAGCUGGAAGGCAGAGUGAGGCAGUGGCACCUCUGGAAGGCAAGGGGCAUCCCAGAGAAGGGGAGACCCAUAUCAGAUGAUAACUCUUGCCUCGGUCUUUAGUUGACCUCUGAACCACGGUCAGCCAGACCCCAAACAGCCUGGCCAAAGGACAGAGUGUGCUGGGCACAGUGGCGUAUUCCUGUAAUCCCAACAAUUUGGGAGGCUGAGGCAGGAGGAUCACAAGUUUGAGGCCAGCCUGGGCAACCUAGUGAGGUCCUGUCCCCAAAAAUAAAUCAAGUGGGGAUGCAGCCCAGUGGUAGAGCACCCCUAGGUUCAACCUCCAGUACAAAAACACAAAGUUCCCCAAGGAUAGAGUGUGGUCUGAGUCCCGUCAAGUCAAUUGCCAACUAACACAAAAAAUCAGCACUAUUUUAAAAGAAUGCAGACUUACCACAGACUAUCAUCAUGUCAAGGACACAAUCCAAAAUCAACCAAUAUUAAAAGAAAAUAAUGUGAUUUCAUUCUCAAAAAAAAGAAGGCUGGAGAUCGACCCUGACAGGACCCAGAUGAUGGAGUUAACAAGCCGGGAUGUCAAGGCAACCCCAUGACCGUGCCCACUGGUGUGCAGAACAUAGGCUUUCAACAGUGGAUAGAUGGAGACAGUCAUGGCAGAUCACAGGAACCACAGGUCUGAAUGGAGAUUCUGGAACUGAAAAUGAAAAUGUUUUCAGUGAAAGUUAACUGGACUAAGAGCAAAGCAGGGAUCACGCAGUGAACUUGACCGUGUCUCAGUAGAACUUAUCCAAUCUAAAGGAAGCGCCUGUGGGGCAAUGUCACAUGCCUGUGUGUGACACAGUUUACAAAGAGAGGAGAGAAGGAAUGGAGUGGGGAAAGGUAUCUGGCGGAAAAAAUGACUGGAACUUCCUACAUGUGGUGAGAAACAUGAACUUACAUAUGUAAGAAAUUCUGGGGCUGGGGAUAGAGCUCAGCUGGUAGAGGCUUGACUCACAUGCACAAGGCCCUGGGUUCCAUCCCCAGCACCACAAAAGAAAAAGAAAAAUUCUGUGAUCAACUCAAGGAGAACCAAGUGUAGGUACAUCAUAGUCAAAUUGCUGGAAAGCAAAUACGAAAUGAAAAAAAUUUUUAAAAAGAGCCCUAGAAAAACAACACAUGGCAUGCAGGGGUAGAGGCUAGAACUGGCUGACUUCUCAGAAACCAUGGAAACCACAUGCGAAGGCCCUGGGUUUGAUCCUCAGCACCACGUAAAAAUAAAUUAAUAAAGUAAAUAAAUAAAUAAAGAUAUUGUGUCCUACUGCAAUUAAAACACAAAUAUUUAAAAAAUCAGUAAAUGGGAUGGACUCAAACUAAAAAGCUUCUUCUCAGCAAAAGAAAUAAUCCAUGAGGUGAAUAGAGAGCCUGCUAAUUGGGAACAAAUUCUUACAACACGCACAUCAGAUACAGCACUAAUCUCUAGAUAUAAAGAACGCAAAAAUCUUAACACCAGAAAAACAACCCAAUCAGUAAAUGGGCCAAGGUACUGAACAGACACUUCUCAGAAAGUGAUAUACAACCAAUCAACAAAUACAUGAAAAAUGUUCAACAUCUCUAACAAUUAGAGAAAUGCAAAUCAAAACUACUCCAAGACUUCAUCUCACUGCAGUCAGAAUGGCAGCUAUUAAGAAUACAAACACCUGUAAGUGUUGGCGAGGAUGUGGGGGAAAGGCACACUCAGACAUUGCUGGUGGGACUGCAAACUGGUGCAGCCAAUAUGGAAAACAGCAUGGAGAUUCCUUGGAAAACUGGGAAUGGCACCACUAUUUGACCCAGCUAUCCCACUCCUUAGUCUAAACCCAAAGGACUUAAAAUCAGCAUACUACAGGGACACAGCCACAUCAAUGUUUAUAGCAGCACAAUUCACAAAAGCUAAACUGUGGAGCCAACCUAGAUGCCCUUCAGUGAAUGAAUGGAUAAAGAAAAAAUGUGGCAUAUAUACACAGUGGAAUGUUACUCAGCAGUAAGAGAGAAUAAAAUCAUGGCAUGUGCAGGUAAAUGGAUGGAGCUGGAGAAUAUAAUGCUAAGUGAAGUUAGCCAAUCCCAAAAAACAAAUGCCGAAUGGUUUCUCUGAUGUGAGAGGCUGACUCAUAAUAUGCUGCAGGGGGGGGUGAUUAAAUGAACUGUAGAUA
Marmota monax (woodchuck) is the source of this 3454-nucleotide long non-coding RNA. RefSeq lists it as uncharacterized. Lineage: Eukaryota; Metazoa; Chordata; Mammalia; Rodentia; Sciuridae. The record is from RefSeq and is a predicted model, not a curated record. The transcript is spliced from 3 exons.